Molecule: long non-coding RNA, 1381 nt
Filed under: Vulpes vulpes (red fox)
Lineage: Eukaryota; Metazoa; Chordata; Mammalia; Carnivora; Canidae
Description: lncRNA (ENSVVUG00000022552.1)
Source: RNAcentral
CGCCUGGCGGCCUCGAGCACAGCCUCUGCACCCCGCUGGAAUGCACCUGCUACGCUCCUCCAGCGCCCGGACCUCCAAAGCCGGCCUCUCCCCUCUCCUGCUCCCGGCGGCGUGGGCUAUGGACUCAGGGGCACCUCUGAGCCACCCUGCAGAGGUGCACGUGGCCAUUGCCCUCGGGGCCUGCGGGGCGCUCUGGACACUGGGCAUCCUUCUUUUUGUCAUCCUCUUCCUCACAAACAGAGGGAGGGCGGAGCACUUCCUCCAGGGGCAGCCGUGGCUCUGGGAGCUGACGCACGUCGUGGCCUGGAUCUGGGCAUUCCACCUGGGGCUGACUGCGAACCUGGUGUGGGUCUGGCACCGGCUCCAAGGGCUUGACCCCAGCCAGAGGACACACUGGAUAGACAGGCUCUCCUGGACUUCGCUCACAUUCCUGCCCAUCGUCCCCUUUGCCGCGGUGGUCACCGUCAGCGCUGUGCUUCUGAUCAAGGGACAAGUGUCUUUCCAGCUCAGCAUUCGUGCGAAGAGACUGCAGAACUGGGAAGAUGUGAGUCCUGAGAAAACUGGGGGCAGAGGAGAACAAAGCGCUGGCUCAGACCUGUCCUGGGAGGAGGCAUCCGGGGGCAGUAAAGCAGAGACAAGUGACCGAGAGAUCCGGGAUGCUGGGAAGACUUAAAGGCCUCUCUCCACUGAGUCCCUCACUUCGCCCCAGAAAUUAAAGGACGGGGCCAAUCACAGCCCCGUUGUCUUGAGUGUAUGUCAUAUUAUUUUUAUUUAUAAGAUAAAUAUUGUUUUACUAGGAAGAAAAUGCCUCUUGUGUUCCUAAUUUUAAGAGGCUCUGCCACCAGGCAGGUGUGGCUACCAGAGCGCGUCCAGAGGUGAGGGGAUGCCCACAGCUCUGCAGUCGGCCUCCUAAGAGGUCCACACGAGCCUUCCUACUGAUGCAGGCUUCCUUAAACCGUGUUCCUCCCAAACUGCCAGGUGCACAGUUCGUGCCUCUGCCCACGCGGCAGCAAACGUGGACACACCUGCACAGGAGAGGAACUAUGUGAUGACAGGCCCCACGCAGGUGUGGCUUCAAGCUGCAGGUCAAAGGCGGUAGAGACGCACGUCUUUGGGGCACCCAGCGAGGGGCGAGGCGGGGCCUGCCCGGCGCUGGCGCCCCUGGAAGCUGACCCGGGGCUGGUCAGUGGGAUGAGACAGAAGGAGCUCACGUGUGGGCUCAGGAACCCAGAGGGAACCCCAGACAGAGAGGCAGUGGACAAGCGACGGCAUCCGAAUGGACGCGACCUUCCGGGGCCUCCAGGAGUGGAGAGAAUCCCAGAGACGCGGGGUUGUGCGGCGCUCUGUCCCCCUGGGGGGGUGACCUUCGCGGGGGGGGGGG